UCACUAAUCCAAUCCAAUUUUGCUAAUUGUGAUUAAGAGAUUGAUUAGGAUGUGGUAUAAAGUGUUAAGCAUAACAGAAAAUCAUAAUCACUUCACAUUCUUCAAGAUCAUAACAGAAUUUCCCUCCAAUUUUCACCAAAUUCUCUCAAACUUUUUCCAACAUUUUUCAUCAAUUCUCAUCAAAAUCUUCAUCAAUCUUGCUCGUGCUUGUUGGAUUCACCUUCUAUAAUCAUCAUUGAGGAACUGUUUUGCAAAAUCAAGGCCAGAACAUAGAAGAAUUUGGACUGUCAUAACCUUGCUCAUCC
RNAcentral lists this long non-coding RNA (305 nucleotides) under Lathyrus oleraceus (garden pea). RNAcentral describes it as "Pisum sativum (pea) long non-coding RNA (PSAT_LNC016512)". Lineage: Eukaryota; Viridiplantae; Streptophyta; Magnoliopsida; Fabales; Fabaceae. The record is from RNAcentral.